CAGGAUCCAGGCUCAGGCUUCAGGGAGCGAACACAGAAGCCAGCGAGGGGCCUAAGACGCCCAGCGUGGGUGAAGGCUGCCUGCGCCUCCGCGGCCUCCCUGCCUCCCUCCCCCUGCUCCUCCCCCUCCCGGAACCCGCCCCCACUCUCAGCCCUGAGCUGCUGAUGCCCUCGGGGUGCUGUUUUCAUUCCAGGCUGUGGAUCCGGUCGUGGGAAGCAGUCCCAGGUGCAGGGGCCUGCAGAGGUGAGACCUGACCGAGUGGAAGCGGUCUGUCUGUUGUGUGUUCGUGGCUACAGAGAAGCUCGUGGACCCCAGACUUCGAUGUGAGCCCCAAACUCUGAUCCCUGACUGCCUGUCCCCAUGGGACCAAGGGACUCUCAGGCCUGCCCACAAAGGUGGGCAUCACUGACUCAACAGACAUGAGUGUGAGCAGUCUCCAGGAGGUGGUAAAGGACAGGGAAGCCUGACGUGCUGCAGUCCAUGGGGUCGCAAAGAGGCAGACACGACUGAGCGACUGAAUGACAAUAUCCUAUUAUUCUGUUUCUGCCUAAAAUAAAUGAUAAAAGUAAGAGUGUGAACAAGACCACAACAGCAGCACACAUCUGCUUCCAUCAGAGCUUAGGGUGAGGCCCAGACAUGGCAAGCUGUGUUUUAGCCUGUUCCCCAUCACUUCUAGGAUCUGAACUGACUCC
Molecule: long non-coding RNA, 692 nt
Organism: Cervus elaphus (red deer)
Lineage: Eukaryota; Metazoa; Chordata; Mammalia; Artiodactyla; Cervidae
Exons: 3
Source: RefSeq, a predicted model, not a curated record